Molecule: ribosomal RNA, 347 nt
Filed under: uncultured bacterium
Lineage: Bacteria
Description: partial 16S ribosomal RNA
Rfam family: Bacterial small subunit ribosomal RNA
Source: RNAcentral
CCUACGGGAGGCAGCAGUGAGGAAUAGUGGUCAAUGGGCGUAAGCCUGAACCAGCCAAGUCGCGUGAGGGAUGAAGGUUCUAUGGAGCGUAAACCUCUUUUAUAAGGGAAUAAAGUGUGGGACGUGUCCGAUUUUGUAUGUACCUUAUGAAUAAGGAUCGGCUAACUCCGUGCCAGCAGCCGCGGUAAUACGGAGGAUCCGAGCGUUAUCCGGAUUUAUUGGGGUUAAAGGGUGCGUAGGCGGCCUUUUAAGUCAGCGGUGAAAGUCUGUGGCUCAACCAUAGAAUUGCCGUUGAAACUGGGGGGCUUGAUUAUGUUUGAGGCCGGCUGCUUGCGUGUUGUAGCCGU